RNAcentral lists this transfer RNA (75 nucleotides) under Methanobacteriota archaeon. RNAcentral describes it as "Euryarchaeota archaeon tRNA-Asn". It matches the Rfam family "tRNA". From Rfam's summary of the family: Transfer RNA (tRNA) molecules are approximately 80 nucleotides in length. The record is from RNAcentral. Lineage: Archaea; Methanobacteriati; Methanobacteriota.
UGGCGUGUAGUUUAGGGGUAGAACGACGGACUGUUAAUCCGUAUGUCGCAGGUUCGAAUCCUGCCACGCCAGCCA